AAAAAUCAGACUUUUGCCAUUCUCCUAGCCCUAAUCAUCCUUAUCUCACCUCUUACCUCUCUCUAACCUCUCUCAAGAGCCUCCUCCUCCUUCACUGCCACCACCGUGCGCCGCCGCCGGUGGUGCUCCAAACACCCCCAACUUACACCAUUCCCUUUAUCUCACUACCCUAUCUCCGAAUCUAAGACCCAUAUCCUCCAAAUCUCCACAAAACUCCAUACAUUUAGAUAAAUCCAAAAAAACCCUAGCUUUUCCAUUUUCAUAAUUGAUGAGGUUCCACACCCCAUUUUCACAUAAGACUUCUAUAUACGUGUAUGUCCUUCUUGGUUCUAUCUCUUUGUGUUGGUUUCAAGUCCAAACUCCGACCACUAUUUUCCGGCAAACUCGUUGGUGACCACCUGUCCGCGAAGGGUCUGUUUUAUGCCAUUUUUUCGACUCAGACGAUCCUUUCUUUCUAGCACGACGCUAAAAUCCAAUGGGUCCAGCGUGUGCUAAAAAGAAACGUUCAUUUCUAGGUCGAGCAGCCACCAUUCGUCGCCCUCGGCAUCCGUCUCGUUACUCGAUUUGGCAUUGAAUCCCUCUGUAUGGUAAAAUACCAAUUUCUUUUCCCUAUUUUUAUCCUUUCUGAUUUUCUGCUCUUGUUUUAGUAUUAGUUCUAAGGUUUAAUUUCCAUUAAUAUUCUGUUAUUUAUGUGCAAUGAGUAUAAUUAUAUUGCAUUUUGACUUUAUAAAUGUGAAUUUCAAUUCUUCGACCUAGCCGGUCGAGUAGUUCGUUAUUGCCUGUUAGUUUUGAUUUUUUUUGUUCAUCGACCUAGCCGGUCAAACCCUUUUUUUUUCUGUUCAUUAGUUCUGUUUUUUAUUCCUCGACCUAGUCAGUCACUAUUUUGCAUAGAGUUAUUAAGCCUGAAUUUUCAGUUUUAGACCUAGUCAGUCGAAUAGCUAAGUCUUUAUGUUAAUUUCAUGAAAAAAUCAAAAGAUUAGUUCAAUUGUUUGUAUAGUUAGUCGUAUAUUUAUUUGUUAUUAAUCUUGAUAGUUUAACGAUAUUCGCUUAAUUUCUGUUUCAAGCAAUAGUUUGUGAAAUUUAGUUGUUAUUCCAUGUUAGUUUGUACAAAUCGAAUUCAUUCUAAUCUAGUUUGUCUGAAUACUAUGUUCAAUUGCAUUUUGAGUCUUGUUUCUACUUUGCUAGUUCAUAUUUGGUUUCAGUGUAUAAGAUAAAUUUCAGUCAUGAGUAGAUAAAAACCGAACACUUGAGUUUAAAGUACGUGUUUGUUGGGUAUUUUACUGUUUAAACAUGCUGGAAAUGCAACUGCUCUAUUUUGUGUCAGAAUUUGGUGAAAAAUGCACUGUUUUGGCACCAAAAGUUAGUACUUUUGGACAACUUUUUGGUGAACCAAAAUCUGUCCAAAAUGACUUGUUUACCUACUUAAAGAGGUCAUUCUUUCAUACCAGGGGACAUCCCCGACAUCCCAGGAUACAUAGCUUCUGAAAAAUCUUUUACACUCAAGAAUACACAAAACUCGGGAGCAAAAUUAAUAGCUGAAUGUCUAAUAGUAAGCUGAAACUUGAGAGUUCUGGAGUGAGUUUUCUGAGAGAAAAUAACACUUUAAAAAACAAAAGUCCAUACAGCUAGUUUAUAGUUCUUCUUUCACUAAAGAUGCUGAGUUUUACGGUUUGUUCUUGGUUGUUUUGGGUUCAAUUUAUUGCUGUUUUUUCUACUAUUUCUACUGUCACUGCUGCUGCAUUUUUGCUACUGCUGUAUUUCUGCUCUUCAGGUAACCUGAGAAGCUUAUCUUCUGAUACUAGCCACUCGUGUUGUAUUUGUCCUUUUUAAUUUAAGGCCAAAUAGUCUCAGUUGUAGAAGUAAUAUCUUCUCCUUUCAUUAGUAAAGUUCAAUUAAAAGGCAGGAUAUAUUGUUAUAUUAGUGUAAUAAAAUGGGCAUGGCUCAAAUAUAACUCUUCAUGACUAUCAAAUAAUGCAUGUUUUGUUGUUCCUUUAGUUGUGAAAGAUGAGUAUGGAUGAAAAUGUUCUCCUGUUU
Molecule: long non-coding RNA, 2034 nt
Filed under: Nicotiana benthamiana
Lineage: Eukaryota; Viridiplantae; Streptophyta; Magnoliopsida; Solanales; Solanaceae
Description: long non-coding RNA (NBEN_LNC042119)
Source: RNAcentral